GCAGCUCCCACCAGUUCAGCUUCAGCACAAACCAUGUUGUCUGUAGCUCUGCUGCUGCUGCUGGCUGCUGGAUCCUGUGUGAAAUGUGUCACGUUGACACAGCCAGCAUCUCUGACUGUCCAGCCAGGUCAAACUCUGACCAUCACCUGUCAGGUCUCUUAUUCUGUUAGCAGCUCUUACACAGCUUGGAUCAGACAGCCUGCAGGGAAAGGACUGGAGUGGAUUGGACAGAUUUAUGGUGGAAGCACAACUUACAAAGAUUCCCUGAAAAACAAGUUUAGCAUUUCCUCAGAUUCUUCCAGCAACACAGUGACUCUAACUGGACAGAAUCUGCAGCCUGAAGACACUGCUGUGUAUUAUUGUGCCAAAGCACCACAGUGA
This is a non-coding RNA of Myripristis murdjan (pinecone soldierfish), 381 nucleotides long. The record is from the annotation of a RefSeq genome assembly. NCBI's taxonomy places the organism in Eukaryota, Metazoa, Chordata, Actinopteri, Holocentriformes, Holocentridae.